Podarcis lilfordi (Lilford's wall lizard) is the source of this 78-nucleotide non-coding RNA. NCBI's taxonomy places the organism in Eukaryota, Metazoa, Chordata, Lepidosauria, Squamata, Lacertidae. The record is from the annotation of a GenBank genome assembly.
AGCUAAAUAGCUCAGUUUGUUAGAGCAUGGUGUUAAUAAUGCCAAGCCUGCAGGUUCAAUCUCUGUACGGGACAGCUA